AUUGAACGCUGGCGGCAUGCCUUACACAUGCAAGUCGAACGGCAGCACGGGUGCUUGCACCUGGUGGCGAGUGGCGAACGGGUGAGUAAUACAUCGGAACAUGUCCUGUAGUGGGGAUAGCCCGGCGAAAGCCGGAUUAAUACCGCAUACGAUCUACGGAUGAAAGCGGGGGACCUUCGGGCCUCGCGCUAUAGGGGUAGCCGAUGGCUGAUUAGCUAGUUGGUGGGGUAAAGGCCUACCAAGGCGACGAUCAGUAGCUGGUCUGAGAGGACGACCAGCCACACUGGGACUGAGACACGGCCCAGACUCCUACGGGAGGCAGCAGUGGGGAAUUUUGGACAAUGGGCGAAAGCCUGAUCCAGCAAUGCCGCGUGUGUGAAGAAGGCCUUCGGGUUGUAAAGCACUUUUGUCCGGAAAGAAAUCCUUGGCCCUAAUACGGUCGGGGGAUGACGGUACCGGAAGAAUAAGCACCGGCUAACUACGUG
This 485-nucleotide ribosomal RNA is filed under the name uncultured bacterium. RNAcentral describes it as "partial 16S ribosomal RNA". It matches the Rfam family "Bacterial small subunit ribosomal RNA", at positions 30 to 507 of the family's 1533-position model. The record is from RNAcentral.